UGAGGCCCAAAAAGAUUAAGUAAUCUUCUUGAAGUCACAUAGCUAAUGGAUUGCAAUGCUUGGAUUUGAACCUGGGCAGGUGACUUUUGGAGCACUACAAAUUUAGUCCGCAUUUGGAUGACUGUCAUCUGAGCUGCCUAACCCAACAGGUGACUCCUGUUGACAAUGAAAAUCAUCCUGUGACUUGCUGCAGAUCUGAAUUUUUGUGCCUGGUGAUGCUGGUGGGUCUGUGCGGUGCUGUGAGGUGCCCUGAGAGAUCCUGAUGCACAGAGUACCCAGUAAGACAUCUGAGGAACUGCAGACUCAGCAGCUUCAGAACUUCAAGGAAUUGUUUGGAUUCAGAUGUCCUUAAAUUAUAAGAAACCCGUUUCUAAUCCAUGUGCAGCGAAAGCCUGGGGAAGCAGAUCCCUCUGGACAUUUUGUGCGUAAUUAGACAAGACCAAGUGAGUUCAACCAAAGCUCUGGGAAGUUCAAUUCCAAGUCUCAGAUCUGGGUGGAGAUGUGAAUGAAGAACACCUGGGAUUAUCCAUUACUGGCACAGAAUAGGCCUUUUCAUCUGCCAUACAAAUGUGCCUUAUGAGUUUUUUCUGCUCAUUCUGCAUGGGUUUCCUGCUUCAUUUAAACAUGUGGUGAGAUUGUCUGUUGGUCAAUUACCAUAAAGUUCAGAGAUAAAACUAAUCAUGUCAAAAUAAACCAGUCUGCUAAGAAAUUUUUGGUUCGAGAAACUUUAAGACUGCCUACAUUAUUGGAAAACCAACCCUUUAAAUUGUUUUAAAAGGUCUGUCAAGAAUGGGAAUAUGUUCAUGGCUGCAUGAUAACUAACUUCCACAGAAUCUUACUGCUGCU
Molecule: long non-coding RNA, 846 nt
Organism: Manis pentadactyla (Chinese pangolin)
Lineage: Eukaryota; Metazoa; Chordata; Mammalia; Pholidota; Manidae
Exons: 3
Source: RefSeq, a predicted model, not a curated record